CACGGAUCCGUAGCGAAAGCGAGUCUGAAUAGGGCGCUUUAGUCAGUAGUGUUAGACGCGAAACCGUGUGAUCUACCCAUGGGCAGGAUGAAGCGCUGGUAACACAGUGUGGAGGUCCGAACCGGUUGACGUUGAAAAGUCUUCGGAUGACCUGUGGGUAGGGGUGAAAGGCCAAUCAAACUCGGAAAUAGCUCGUACUCCCCGAAAUGCAUUUAGGUGCAGCGUUAUUUUAGUUAUAUAGAGGUAGAGCUACUGAUUGGAUGCGGGGGCUUCACCGCCUACCAAUUCCUGACAAACUCCGAAUGCUAUAUAAUGAUUGAUAACAGUGAGGGCUUGGGUGCUAAGGUCCAAGUCCGAGAGGGAAAGAACCCAGACCAUCAGCUAAGGUCCCCAAAUAUAUGCUAAGUUGAAAGAACGAGGUUUGUCUGCCCAGACAGCUAGGAUGUUGGCUUGGAAGCAGCCAUUCAUUUAAAGAGUGCGUAACAGCUCACUAGUCGAGCGGACGAGCAUGGAUAAUAAUCGGGCAUAAGCAUAUUACCGAAGCUAUGGAUUUACAGUUAUACUGUAAGUGGUAGGGGAGCAUUCUAACAGGGUUGAAGGUGUAUCGUAAGGUAUGCUGGACUGGUUAGAAAAGAAAAUGUAGGCAUAAGUAACGAUAAUGCGGGCGAGAAACCCGCACACCGAAAAACUAAGGUUUCCACAGCUAUGCUAAUCAGCUGUGGGUUAGUCUGGUCCUAAGGCGAACCCGAAAGGGACAGUCGAUGGCUAACGGGUUAAUAUUCCCGUACUACUAAUUACUGUGAUGGGGUGACGGAGUGAUGAAAGCGCCGCGAACUGACGGAAUAGUUCGUUGAAGUACCUACCUAUAAGCUGCGCAGGCAAAUCCACGCGGCUUGGGGAAAUACGAUAGUACUCGGAGUCUUCGGACAAAGAGAUAGUGCGCCUAAGGGCUUCCAAGAAAAACCUCUAAACUUCAGGUAAUUAGUACCAGUACCGUAAACCGACACAGGUAGUUGAGGAGAGAAUCCUAAGGUGCUCGAGAGAUUCAUGGCUAAGGAAUUAGGCAAAAUAGACCUGUAACUUCGGGAGAAAGGUCGCCAGCGCAAGCUGGCCGCAGUGAAGAGGUCCAGGCGACUGUUUAUCAAAAACACAGGGCUCUGCAAAAUCGUAAGAUGAAGUAUAGGGCCUGACACCUGCCCGGUGCUGGAAGGUUAAGAGGAGAUGUUAUCUUCGGAGAAGCAUUGAAUUGAAGCCCCAGUAAACGGCGGCCGUAACUAUAACGGUCCUAAGGUAGCGAAAUUCCUUGUCGGGUAAGUUCCGACCUGCACGAAUGGUGUAACGAUCUGGACACUGUCUCAGCCAUGAGCUCGGUGAAAUUGUAGUAACGGUGAAGAUGCCGUUUACCCGCAGUGGGACGAAAAGACCCUGUGCACCUUUACUAUAGCUUAGUAUUGACCUUGGAUAAAUGAUGUGUAGGAUAGGUUGGAGACUGUGAAGUGGCGUCGCUAGGCGUUGUGGAGUCAUUGUUGAAAUACAACCCUUUGUUUAUCUGAGGCCUAACCCCGCUAUGUGGGGGACAUUGCUUGGUGGGUAGUUUGACUGGGGUGGUCGCCUCCAAAAGAGUAACGGAGGCUUCUAAAGGUUCCCUCAGUACGCUUGGUAACCGUGCGUAGAGUGCAAUGGCAUAAGGGAGCUUGACUGAGAGACAUACAGGUCGAUCAGGUACGAAAGUAGAGCAUAGUGAUCCGGUGGUUCCGCAUGGAAGGGCCAUCGCUCAAAGGAUAAAAGGUACGCCGGGGAUAACAGGCUGAUCUCCCCCAAGAGCUCAUAUCGACGGGGGGGUUUGGCACCUCGAUGUCGGCUCGUCACAUCCUGGGGCUGGAGAAGGUCCCAAGGGUUGGGCUGUUCGCCCAUUAAAGUGGCACGCGAGCUGGGUUCAGAACGUCGUGAGACAGUUCGGUCUCUAUCUACUGUGGGCGUUAGAAAUUUGAGUGGAUCUGAUUCUAGUACGAGAGGACCGAAUUGGACAAACCUCUAGUGUAUCUGUUGUCCCGCCAGGGGCACCGCAGAGUAGCUACGUUUGGAAGGGAUAAGCGCUGAAAGCAUAUAAGCGCGAAACCCACCACAAGAUGAGAUUUCUUUUAAGGAUCGUGGAAGAUGACCACGUUGAUAGGCUAUAGAUGUAAAGGCAGUAAUGUCAUAGUCGAGUAGUACUAAUAAUCCGUAAGCUUAUGUACACCC
RNAcentral lists this ribosomal RNA (2241 nucleotides) under Flavobacterium sp. ABG. RNAcentral's name for it is "bacterial LSU rRNA". It matches the Rfam family "Bacterial large subunit ribosomal RNA", at positions 659 to 2925 of the family's 2925-position model. Lineage: Bacteria; Pseudomonadati; Bacteroidota; Flavobacteriia; Flavobacteriales; Flavobacteriaceae. The record is from RNAcentral.